UACGGAGGAUGCGAGCGUUAUCCGGAUUUAUUGGGUUUAAAGGGUGCGUAGGCGGAACAUUAAGUCAGCGGUAAAAUCGAGGGGCUCAACCCCUUUAAGCCGUUGAAACUGGUGAUCUUGAGUGGGCGAGAAGUAUGCGGAAUGCGUGGUGUAGCGGUGAAAUGCAUAGAUAUCACGAAGAACUCCGAUUGCGAAGGCAGCUUACCAGUCUGCGACUGACGCUCAGGCACGAAAGUGUGGGUAUCGAACAGG
Molecule: ribosomal RNA, 252 nt
Filed under: uncultured Bacteroidales bacterium
Lineage: Bacteria; Pseudomonadati; Bacteroidota; Bacteroidia; Bacteroidales
Description: partial 16S ribosomal RNA
Rfam family: Bacterial small subunit ribosomal RNA
Source: RNAcentral